This 439-nucleotide ribosomal RNA is filed under the name uncultured bacterium. RNAcentral's name for it is "partial 16S ribosomal RNA". It matches the Rfam family "Bacterial small subunit ribosomal RNA", at positions 339 to 795 of the family's 1533-position model. The record is from RNAcentral.
CUACGGGUGGCACCAGUGAGGAAUAUUGCACAAUGGGGGGAACCCUGAUGCAGCAACGCCGCGUGGAGGAUGACGCAUUUCGGUGUGUAAACUCCUUUUAUAUGUCAAGAAAAUGACGGUAGCAUAUGAAUAAGCGCCGGCUAACUCCGUGCCAGCAGCCGCGGUAAUACGGAGGGCGCAAGCGUUACUCGGAAUCACUGGGCGUAAAGGACGCGUAGGCGGGUUGAAAAGUCAGGUGUGAAAGCCUACAGCUUAACUGUAGAACUGCACUUGAAACUCUCAACCUAGAGUUUGGGAGGGGCAGAUGGAAUUAGUGGUGUAGGGGUAAAAUCCGUAGAUAUCACUAGGAAUACCUAAAGCGAAGGCGAUCUGCUGGAACAUUACUGACGCUAAGGCGUGAAAGCGUGGGGAGCAAACAGGAUUAGAUACCCGUGUAGUC